GACGAACGCUGGCGGCGUGCUUAACACAUGCAAGUCGAACGGUAAGGCCCUUUCGGGGGUACACGAGUGGCGAACGGGUGAGUAACACGUGGGUGAUCUGCCCUGCACUUUGGGAUAAGCCUGGGAAACUGGGUCUAAUACCGGAUAGGACUACGCGAUGCAUGUCGUGUGGUGGAAAGCUUUUGCGGUGUGGGAUGGGCCCGCGGCCUAUCAGCUUGUUGGUGGGGUGAUGGCCUACCAAGGCGACGACGGGUAGCCGGCCUGAGAGGGUGUCCGGCCACACUGGGACUGAGAUACGGCCUAGACUCCUACGGGAGGCAGCAGUGGGGAAUAUUGCACAAUGGGCGCAAGCCUGAUGCAGCGACGCCGCGUGGGGGAUGACGGCCUUCGGGUUGUAAACCCCUUUCAGCACAGACGAAGCGUAAGUGACGGUAUGUGCAGAAGAAGCACCGGCCAACUACGUG
This 464-nucleotide ribosomal RNA is filed under the name uncultured bacterium. Its description in RNAcentral is "partial 16S ribosomal RNA". It matches the Rfam family "Bacterial small subunit ribosomal RNA", at positions 28 to 507 of the family's 1533-position model. The record is from RNAcentral.